Molecule: long non-coding RNA, 810 nt
Filed under: Citrus x clementina
Lineage: Eukaryota; Viridiplantae; Streptophyta; Magnoliopsida; Sapindales; Rutaceae
Description: Citrus clementina (C. clementina) long non-coding RNA (CCLE_LNC000649)
Source: RNAcentral
GCGGCAUUCCGAGUCCGGCGGAAGAAGUUGGCCAGCCCCACCCCCCAAGGCUAUAGCCCACCCGUUUUUGUGGCCUUUUCCGCUGGACGAACUUGGCGCCCCGGCCUUCCGGUUGUUAUUUUUGGGCGCGGCUUUGCCCGCGGCCUAUUUUUGGCACACGGAGGCCCCUCGCAAAGUCUCGCGGCAUUCCGAGUCCGGCGGACGAAGUUGGCCUUCCCCACCCCCCAAGACUAUAGCCCACCCGUUUUUGUGGCCUUUUUCCGCUGGACGAACUGGGCGCCCCGGCCUUCGGGCGGUUAUUUUUGGGCGCGGCAUUGCCCGCGGCCUAUUUUUUGCCCACGGAGACCCCUCGCAAAUUCUCACGGCAUUGCGAGUCCGGUGGACGAAGUGGGCCAGCACCACCCCCCAGGGCUAUAGCCCACCCGUUUUUGUGGCCUUUUUCCGCUGGACGAACUUGGCGCCCCGGCCUUCGGGCUGUUAUUUUUGGGCACGGCUUUACCCGCGGCCUAUUUUUGGUACACGGAGGCCCCUCGCAAAGUCUCGCUGCAUUCCGAGUCCGGCGGACGAAGUCGGCCUGCGCCACCCCCCAACGCUAUAGCCCACCCGUUUUUGUGGCCUUUUUCCGCUGGACGAACUUGGCGCCUCGGCCUUCUGGCGGUUAUUUUUGGGUGCGGCUUUGCCCGCGGCCUAUUUUUGGCACACGGAGGCCUCUUGCAAAGUCUCGCGGCAUUCCGAGUCCGGCGGACGAAGUUGGCCAGCCCCACCCCCAAAGGCUAUAGCCCACCCGUUUUUGUGGUCUUUUUCCGCUGG